This 64-nucleotide transfer RNA is filed under the name Taenia regis. RNAcentral's name for it is "tRNA-Tyr". The record is from RNAcentral. Lineage: Eukaryota; Metazoa; Platyhelminthes; Cestoda; Cyclophyllidea; Taeniidae.
UCUAGUUUAACAUAUAUAUAAUGUGGGAGGUUGUAAACUUCUUUAAGGCUAUAGUCAACUAGGA